CAAUAGCGUAUAUUAAAGCUGUUGCGGUUAAAAAGCUCGUAGUUGGAUUUCUGUCAAGGACAACUGGUCCGCCCCUCGGGUGAGCACAUAGUUUGGUCUUGGCAUCUUGUUGGAAACUGUUGCUGCACUUGGUUGUGUGGCGCAGUGUCCAGCACUUUCACUUUGAGGAAAUUGGAGUGUUUCAAGCAGGCACAUGCCUUUGGACACAGUAGCAUGGAAUAAUUAGAUUGGGCUUUUGCUCCAACUUGUCGGUUUCUGGAGCUGAGGUGGGAAUUAAUGGGGAUUGUUGGGGGCAUCCGAAUUUAGCCGUCAGAGGUGAAAUUCUUGGAUCUGCUAAAGACGGACAACUGCGAAAGCGUUUGCCCAGGAUGUUUUCAUUGA
RNAcentral lists this ribosomal RNA (381 nucleotides) under uncultured eukaryote. Its description in RNAcentral is "partial 18S ribosomal RNA". It matches the Rfam family "Eukaryotic small subunit ribosomal RNA", at positions 592 to 976 of the family's 1831-position model. The record is from RNAcentral.